UCGAGAGAAGGGGAUCGGGAACGGGGAGGCAGAGCGCGUGCGCUCCCGUCCCGUCGCCGCGCCGCCUCCUCACCGGGCGCCGCCACCAGCCUCCAGAUCGCCCAGCCACCCACCGCCGCCGGCCAGCCUACUUGGCUCGCCGUCGGCAGGCCUCCUUGCCCCGCCGCCGGCCGGCCUCCGGUCCCUCGGGGACCUAGGGUUUUGAAGAUAGAGAUGGGACAGGGGGUCACGGUUCAAGAGAUCAUGGCGCAAGCGGCAAGCUCCUCGAUUCCAUCUGAGCUCCCUUCUAGCGUGUGCGUUUAGUUCGGUCAUUUUACAGCUAAACUUGAUGAUGGUACUUGUGUUGAAGUGGCGCGUAAAUGGCUUGAAUGGGUUGUGGACUAUCAUCAGUGCACAUUGGAGAGUUUGGAAAAGGAUCUUGCAGUAAGGGUAAAAUGGGGCAGCAACCAACAUGCUGUGAUAAGUGGCUACGACAUGGGCACUGGUGAGGAAACACCGUUUAAGGAUAAUAUGGAUGUAGCCCAUGCAUUGUUUGUUAGGAAGAGUGAUAGAAAGUUGAUUUUGUUUGUUGAUGUGGAGGACAAGCCUAUUCAGUUGAUGACUAACUCGGUAGUUUCAGAGGUCAAUGAGGUAGCAAUGGGUGAAGUUGUGACAGACAGGCAAGGUGAUGUUCAAGAAUGCAGCAGUUGUAUUGAUUGGGAUAGUCUAGAGAUAGCUCCAAUUCCACAUAACCAAGUUCCUCAACUUGCUAUUGAUUGGGAUGCAUUGGAGAUAGAACCAAUUCCACAACAUCAACUUGGUUCUUCUAUGCCUUCGAUGGAGGAAGAUGAAAUGCAUACAUUUGUUGGACUUAGAGCUGAGGAUGGGAGAGCCGAGCAAGCUAGACUUGAGGCUAAGAGGCAAAGGAAUUCAGUGCCUACACCAGGUUCAGCUCAUACUGAAGGGGAUUUGAACCUUAACGAGGCAGAGAUUGUAAUAUGCUGUUAAUGAUGUAAUACCUGGUGAAUCUGAAAUUUUCUAUGACAGAGAUGAUCCUCCGAUGGAAGUUGGAAGCUCAUAUGUAAGCAUGAAUGAAUUUAGGUCAGCUGUGAGGCAACACGCUAUAAAGGGACAAUUUCAGGUUGGGACAGAGAAGUCUGAUAAAGAAAGGUUUAGGGGCUUUUGCACAGCUGAUGAAUGCCCAUGGGCUAUCGUGGCCAGGCUGAUGCAUAAUGAAAAAUCCGUGAGGGUCCUAACAACUAACUAAACAAUGUGUCAUAUUUCAAAUAUUGGUUUGUCUGUAUGAGUUGUCUCAUGGUUAUUCCCUUUUUGUUUUGUAUGAGUUGCCGGCCAUACUUGAGUAUAGACUCCACAGCCCUUAAUGGGAGUUGGAAUGGUCAGCUAGGUUCUGCUACAUCCAUAGAUGGACACAACUGGAUGUUUCCGGUUGCAUUUGGUUUUUUUCAAAGUGAGACCACUGGCAAUUGGACUUGGUUUAUGCAACAACUUCAUAAGGCCAUUGGAAAACAGCCACACUUAGCAAUCAGCUCGGAUGCUUGUAAGGGACUGGAGAAUGUUGUGAAAAGUGUAUUUAGUACAGCAGAGCAUAGAGAAUGCUUUUGGCACUUGAUGCAGAAUUUCAUCAAGAAAUUUCAUGGUUCAGUGUUUGGGAACAUGUACCCUGCAGCUAGGUCUUACAUGACAGAUAGAUAUGAGUAUUACAUGAAUAAAAUUCAUGAGGCAAAAUCAGAUGUGAAGCCAUAUCUAGAAACUUAUCACGGCCUACUUUGGAUGAGGAGUAAGUUCUUAGAAAAGAUAAAAUGUGACUUCAUCACCAACAAUCUAGCAGAGUCAUGGAACAAAUAGAUCAAGGAUAUGAAGGAUCAUCCUAUUGCAGAUCUCGCAGAUGGCAUCAGAGCAAAGACAAUGGAUCUAUUUGCGAGACGGAGGAAGAUAGGUGAGAAACUAGAUGGUGUUAUGCUCCCUAUUGUAGUUCGUCAACUGAAUGCAAUGACUAGAGAUUUGGGUCACUUGAAGGUAGUGCAAGGUAAUAAGGACCUAGCAGAAGUGACUGAGAUUACUCCUGAACAUGAUAUUAGUAGGCAUGCUGUCAAUCUUACAGAACAUACAUGCACUUGUAGAGAGUGGCAAGUUUCUGGCAAACCAUGCCCACAUGCAUUAGCUCUCAUAAUAUCAGCUAGAAACCCAAGAAUGGCUGAUUACCUGGAUCCUUGCUAUUCAGUGGAAAAGUAUAAGCUGGCAUAUGCAGGUGUUAUUCAUCCACUUCCAGAUAAGUCCCAAUGGCCAAAAGUCAAUAUUGGUUUCAAGUUGUUGCCACCUCUCACUAAGAGGGAUGUAGGGAGGCAAAGAAAGAAUAGGAUAGUUGGGUGCCUUGAGAAAGGAAGCAAGCCUAGGACCAAAGGAAAGUGGCAGGUUCAAUGUAAGAAGUGUCUUAACAUGGGCCAUAGACAAACAUCCUCAAAAUGUCCAUUAAAUGGUACCAAGAAAAAAAAGGAAAAGUCGUGCUAAACAAGGAAGACCACUAGGUUCAACUAGUGAUGCAGCGGGUUCUAGCACACCUAAAAGACAAAAAGUUGCAAUCAAUGAUUCCAGCAAUGCGAGUCCUGGGCCUGUCACUAGAAGCCAAUUGGCAUUGACUAAUGUUGUUGGAGAAGGAUCGAGUCAAAUGGCAACCCCUCCGAGGCCUACUAGAGCUGCAAGGAAGAUCACUCCAAAGAAAGGGAAAAAAUGAAUGCUUUUCUAAAUAUAAUAUUUAGUGUUGUGGAUGCUUUUGUAAUGUGAAACAUGGGACACAACUGGUUGGUUUCAUUUUGUUCUCUGAACUUGUCAAAUGGUUAUGUAAUCUGGAUGAUGUUCUUAAGUUUGUUAUUGAA
Molecule: long non-coding RNA, 2873 nt
Organism: Oryza sativa Japonica Group (Japanese rice)
Lineage: Eukaryota; Viridiplantae; Streptophyta; Magnoliopsida; Poales; Poaceae
Source: RefSeq, a predicted model, not a curated record